RNAcentral lists this ribosomal RNA (893 nucleotides) under Enterococcus avium. RNAcentral's name for it is "partial 23S ribosomal RNA". It matches the Rfam family "Bacterial large subunit ribosomal RNA", at positions 1 to 872 of the family's 2925-position model. The record is from RNAcentral. Lineage: Bacteria; Bacillati; Bacillota; Bacilli; Lactobacillales; Enterococcaceae.
UGUUGCUUGCAAGGGCGUAUGGUGGAUGCCUUGGCAGACAGGACCGAUGAAGGACGUUUGAGGCUGCGAUAUGCCUCGGGGAGCCGCCAACAGGGCUUUGAUCCGAGGAUUUCCGAAUGGGGGAACCCACCGACCGUCAUGGGUCGGUACCGGCUUCGGCCGGGGGGUACGCAGGGAAGUGAAACAUCUCAGUACCUGCAGGAAAGGAUAUUCCGUGAGUAGUGGCGAGCGAAAGCGGAUGAUGGCCAAACCUUGCGCGUGUGAUACCCGUCGGGGGUUGCGCGCGGGGUGUUGCGGGAUCGCGUGCGCCGGCUCCGACGGGCCGGCCGGCAGUUGCAGAAAACGAUGUGUCAGGGGAACCGGGUUGACUACCGGGCCGCAGAGGGUGAGGGCCCCGUACCUGAACGCGCAUGGUCUGCCGAUCGCGUCUCCCAAGUAGCACGGGACCCGUGGAACCCCGUGCGAAUCCACCCAGACCGUUGGGUAAGCCUGAAUAUUCCUGUCUGACCGAUAGCGAACGAGUACCGUGAGGGAAAGGUGAAAAGUACCCCGGGAGGGGAGUGAAACAGUCUCUGAAACCGUGCGCCUACAAUCCGUCGGAGCCCUUUUGUGGGGUGACGGCGUGCCUAUCGAAAAAUGAGUCUGCGAGUCAGUGGCAUGUGGCGAGCAUAACCCGUGUGGGGUAUGCGUAGCGAAGGCGAGUCUUAAAAGGCGUUUGAGUCGCGUGUCCUGGACCCGAAGCGGGAUGAUCUAGCCCUGAGCAGGUUGAAGCGCGGGUAAGACCGCGUGGAGGACCGAACCCACCUGGGUUGAAAACCGGGGGGAUGACUUGGGGCUCGGGGUGAAAGGCCAAUCAAAUUCCGUGAUAGCUGGUUCUCUCCGAAAUGCAUUUG